UACGAAGGGGGCUAGCGUUGCUCGGAAUCACUGGGCGUAAAGGGUGCGUAGGCGGGUCUUUAAGUCAGGGGUGAAAUCCUGGAGCUCAACUCCAGAACUGCCUUUGAUACUGAGGAUCUUGAGUUCGGGAGAGGUGAGUGGAACUGCGAGUGUAGAGGUGAAAUUCGUAGAUAUUCGCAAGAACACCAGUGGCGAAGGCGGCUUACUGGCUCGAAACUGACGCUGAGGAGCGAAAGCGUGGGGAGCGAACAGG
This 253-nucleotide ribosomal RNA is filed under the name uncultured bacterium. RNAcentral describes it as "partial 16S ribosomal RNA". It matches the Rfam family "Bacterial small subunit ribosomal RNA", at positions 524 to 776 of the family's 1533-position model. The record is from RNAcentral.